This is an RNA transcript of Phlebotomus argentipes, 1502 nucleotides long. It is a transcript of the gene named cyclic GMP-AMP synthase-like receptor, with no coding region annotated. The record is from RefSeq and is a predicted model, not a curated record. The transcript is spliced from 5 exons. Lineage: Eukaryota; Metazoa; Arthropoda; Insecta; Diptera; Psychodidae.
UGAGUGCUAGUUUAGCGUGUAAGACGUGACUGAAAACCGUAAUCUAUUAUAUUUUAAUUCAAGUGCAAAAAGUAUUAAAAAUAAAUUGAAAUUUAAGUUCUCAAGAUGAAUGUGCAAGAACUUACAAUUUUCACUGGAAUUACCCACGCAAUUAAUCAGUUCAUAACGCUGGAUUCGAAAGAUCGCGAGGAGUACAUGAAACACUGUAAUGUUGUUAGGCAAUCCAUUGAUACCGAGUUGAAGAACAACAGUGAUUUGUACAAGAAAAUAAGCAAUGGAUUUGAGUAUGCGGGAAGUUAUCGGGACAACUUGAAGGUAUCGAAGCCUAAUGAGUAUGAUUUGAUCAUGAAAAUGAAACUUCCUUUGUCCCCGGAUAAAGUCAUCGUAAAACCUGAUAAGGCGGGAUAUCUGACAAUCAAUGUUAAGAAUUUGCUAGAAGAAAUGGCAAAAAUACCAACCAUGACUGAAGCUCAUAAAGAGUUGGCCAAAAUGACGGACAAAUUUGGCUAUUUGCUUCAGAAUAAGUGGCUAGCGUGGUUGGAAAGCAAAAUUCAUAAUUCUGUCACGAGCGUCAAGCAACUCUUAGCAUCUGAAUACACGUUAAAACAUGAGAAACAUGGACCAGCGCAAACCCUUAAUGUGACUUCGAAGAGAGAUUCUCAUAUAUCCUUCAGUAUUGACUUCGUCUUCGGCAUUACCUUUGAUCUCAGCAAAUGGAUUGCAACACGUAAGCCCCCAAAACUUGCUAAAGAGGAGGACAAGUUCUACAUGGCCAUUCCAAAACCAAAUAAAUUAAAUCCUGGUGAGGAGAACCGUUUGUGGAUAGCGAGUUAUCCCGCACAAGAUAAUGUUAUUAUCCAUAAUAAAAAUCGCCUCAAAGACGCCAUUCGGUUCAUCAAGAAAAUCCGAGACACUCAAGUUCUGCCGAAUCUAAAAAGCUACUAUAUAAAAACCGUUGUUAUGUUGGAAACUGACAAAAGACCUGAUUCGUACUGGAACUCUUCUUUUGACAUCGUACUUAAGGAUAUGCUGAAUGCUACCAUUCAACGUUUCGAAGAAAAGAAGAUUCCGUCGUAUUGGAAUAAGAAUUUUAAUAUUAUCGAAGGCUUAAACGACGGUCAACGACAAGCCAUAAUUUCAAAGUUGAAGAAAGUGAAACGAACUUGGGAUACUGUUGUCGUCAAAGAAAAGAUAAUGGAAACCAUUCUAUCUCCGCAUGAAGUUGAAAUCCUUUCGACAACCAUCAACGUGUGUGGAAAAAUAUAAUAAUGAAACAAUCAAGUACCUGCAUAAUCAACGAAAGGACUUUAAUUUGCCAUAUUAUUUUAUCUUAUCUUAUCAGGAUCUGAGACAGGACCCAUUUUUGCAGUUCCCACUGGGUGAUAAUUGGUUAAGACAAGAUAUCGACAGUAACAUGCCCAGUAUUCGUCGCUGUUAAAUUCCAUGGCAUCACAUUCCGCAAUGGGAAUAGUUCAGCGCUUUUUAACAAAAUUUCUCCUUUA